CGUAUCACUUAAAGCGAUUCAGCGGGUUACGAUUGACGGAGCGAAGCGACGUCAAAGCGUAUACAAAGUCGAGUCGGUUUAAGGAUACGUUCGUUGGGUAGGGGAGCGUUCUGUAAGCCCGUGAAGGUGGCCUGUGAGGGUUGCUGGAGGUAUCAGAAGUGCGAAUGCUGACAUAAGUAACGAUAAAGCGGGUGAAAAGCCCGCUCGCCGGAAGACCAAGGGUUCCUGUCCAACGUUAAUCGGGGCAGGGUGAGUCGACCCCUAAGGCGAGGCCGAAAGGCGUAGUCGAUGGGAAACGGGUUAAUAUUCCCGUACUUGGUGUUACUGCGAAGGGGGGACGGAGAAGGCUAUGUUGGCCGGGCGACGGUUGUCCCGGUUUAAGCGUGUAGGUGUGUGUUCCAGGUAAAUCCGGUUCACUUUAACACUGAGGCGUGAUGACGAGGCACUACGGUGCUGAAGCAACAAAUGCCCUGCUUCCAGGAAAAGCCUCUAAGCAUCAGGUAACAUCAAAUCGUACCCCAAACCGACACAGGUGGUCAGGUAGAGAAUACCAAGGCGCUUGAGAGAACUCGGGUGAAGGAACUAGGCAAAAUGGUGCCGUAACUUCGGGAGAAGGCACGCUGACACGUAGGUGAAGUGAUUUACUCACGGAGCUGAAGUCAGUCGAAGAUACCAGCUGGCUGCAACUGUUUAUUAAAAACACAGCACUGUGCAAACACGAAAGUGGACGUAUACGGUGUGACGCCUGCCCGGUGCCGGAAGGUUAAUUGAUGGGGUCAGCGCAAGCGAAGCUCCUGAUCGAAGCCCCGGUAAACGGCGGCCGUAACUAUAACGGUCCUAAGGUAGCGAAAUUCCUUGUCGGGUAAGUUCCGACCUGCACGAAUGGCGUAAUGAUGGCCAGGCUGUCUCCACCCGAGACUCAGUGAAAUUGAACUCGCUGUGAAGAUGCAGUGUACCCGCGGCAAGACGGAAAGACCCCGUGAACCUUUACUAUAGCUUGACACUGAACAUUGAGCCUUGAUGUGUAGGAUAGGUGGGAGGCUUUGAAGUGUGGACGCCAGUCUGCAUGGAGCCGACCUUGAAAUACCACCCUUUAAUGUUUGAUGUUCUAACGUGGACCCGUAAUCCGGGUUGCGGACAGUGUCUGGUGGGUAGUUUGACUGGGGCGGUCUCCUCCUAAAGAGUAACGGAGGAGCACGAAGGUUGGCUAAUCCUGGUCGGACAUCAGGAGGUUAGUGCAAUGGCAUAAGCCAGCUUGACUGCGAGCGUGACGGCGCGAGCAGGUGCGAAAGCAGGUCAUAGUGAUCCGGUGGUUCUGAAUGGAAGGGCCAUCGCUCAACGGAUAAAAGGUACUCCGGGGAUAACAGGCUGAUACCGCCCAAGAGUUCAUAUCGACGGCGGUGUUUGGCACCUCGAUGUCGGCUCAUCACAUCCUGGGGCUGAAGUAGGUCCCAAGGGUAUGGCUGUUCGCCAUUUAAAGUGGUACGCGAGCUGGGUUUAGAACGUCGUGAGACAGUUCGGUCCCUAUCUGCCGUGGGCGCUGGAGAACUGAGGGGGGCUGCUCCUAGUACGAGAGGACCGGAGUGGACGCAUCACUGGUGUUCGGGUUGUCAUGCCAAUGGCACUGCCCGGUAGCUAAAUGCGGAAGAGAUAAGUGCUGAAAGCAUCUAAGCACGAAACUUGCCCCGAGAUGAGUUCUCCCUGAGACUUAGAGUCUCCUGAAGGAACGUUGAAGACGACGACGUUGAUAGGCCGGGUGUGUAAGCGCAGCGAUGCGUUGAGCUAACCGGUACUAAUGAACCGUGAGGCUUAACCUUACAACGCCGAAG
RNAcentral lists this ribosomal RNA (1829 nucleotides) under Salmonella enterica subsp. enterica. RNAcentral describes it as "partial 23S ribosomal RNA". It matches the Rfam family "Bacterial large subunit ribosomal RNA", at positions 1154 to 2925 of the family's 2925-position model. The record is from RNAcentral. Lineage: Bacteria; Pseudomonadati; Pseudomonadota; Gammaproteobacteria; Enterobacterales; Enterobacteriaceae.